RNAcentral lists this long non-coding RNA (319 nucleotides) under Mytilus galloprovincialis (Mediterranean mussel). The record is from RNAcentral. Lineage: Eukaryota; Metazoa; Mollusca; Bivalvia; Mytilida; Mytilidae.
CCACCCCUAAACCAUAUUUAUUCUUGUAGGGGACAAUAAAACAAAUGAAAUGAAAUAAAAGGGAAGUCCCGAGAGGGUCACCCCACCCCUUCUUGUUUGAAAACUUGUAAACGGUCAACAUCCCCACCCCUAAACCACAUGUAUUCUUGUAUGGGACAAUAAAACAAAUCAAAUGAAAUGUAGGUAAAGUCUCUGGGGGUUACCACCACCCCCUCCUGUUUGAAUACUUGUAAAUGGUGGAGAUCCCCACCCGUAAGCCAUAUAUAUUCUUGUAUUGGACAAAAAAUCAAAUCAAAUGAACAUGGGACCAUAUAAAUGG